CAAGGCCUUGAGAAUUUCCUUACUCUUUUAUACAUCUAGCACAUUUAUUGAGUGAGUGUGCAGUAAUUUGGUGGAUUUACUAAGUAACUUGACAGUUAAUGGGAUACAUCUGCAGUAGAUUCAAAAAUAACUGGCUGCUUAGAAAUAUAGAAUAGAUUAGCAUUCUUGUUCCUUUCAGUUCGUUCGAGAAUGUCAUAUUUGCUUUAACUGCAGAGAAGUCAAGGUUCUGUUAAAGAUCUAUAUACCCUGAGAUUCACUACCAACUAUAAUAAUUAGACCUGACUCUUCCUUAACUGCUAUUAUAUUAAAAAAAUGUUAUUUAUUUUUAUCCAAAGGAUCUAAGAAAUUACAUUAAACAACACAGAGAAAACAUACAUAUACCUGGAUCUACACAGUGACUUUAUGAGAUUUGAGAGCAUUAGAGAAACCCCAGCCACUGAAGAGAGAGUCCAGACCUCCUUUUCUGCAGACAAAUUGGCUGCUUCUCAUCAGUGAUCCAUACUCAUGUGUUUCCUCAUACCUACAAAAAGAAGAAUAGAAACAUCAACAUCCUUCAUCUGGUGCACCAUAAUCUAUGUCUGGGAACACUUUGGUACUCAGAGAUGGAGGUUCACUCCACUGGGGAAAGAAAUCUCUAAGAGGAAAACCCAAAUGAGCAAUCUUAAACAGUGGAGUCUCCUGUCUCUUCAGCAGGCGCAAAUCACAGAAGUGAAAUGA
Molecule: long non-coding RNA, 717 nt
Filed under: Chrysolophus pictus (golden pheasant)
Lineage: Eukaryota; Metazoa; Chordata; Aves; Galliformes; Phasianidae
Description: lncRNA (ENSCPIG00010009460.1)
Source: RNAcentral